Molecule: ribosomal RNA, 1839 nt
Filed under: Triticum aestivum (bread wheat)
Lineage: Eukaryota; Viridiplantae; Streptophyta; Magnoliopsida; Poales; Poaceae
Description: partial small subunit ribosomal RNA
Source: RNAcentral
AUGGCGGAUCGGGGCGGCAGCAAGUUCGGGGGCCGCGAGGGCGCGGGCCACGGCAACAUCGGAGGGGGGCGCACCCAGACCUCGUCCAACCAGGGGCGCAACCUGGUGUGGCAGCGCUCGAACCCUCCACCGCCACCUGGCGGCGCUAGAUCUGGAAGUGAGGCGUCGGGGAGUAGAUGGGAUGCGGCGACGAAGAUGCAAGGCGGGGGCUCCAGGGACCAGUGGCCUACCCACAAGACGGCGGCGAAGGAUGGAGAUCUGGCUCCACCACCAGCUCCGUCUGCUCCAGUCAGCAAGGGUGGGGAGGAGCGCUGCAUCAACUGCAACCUUCCAGGUCAUUUUGCUCCUCGCUGUCCUACCAUUCGAUGUGAGAAAUGUGGUAAACUUGGACACAUGGCGCAACUUUGCCAGAUCCCUCAACCCUGGGAAUGUGUUCCUUUCAUGUGCGGUUUCCAGUCCCCUGGGCAGGGAUUCUUCUUCAUCCCUGAUUGUUGCGCGGAUAAACAGGCCAAUGAGAAAACUAAUACUGUGGUGAUUACCUUGGUGGAGGGUGUGGCAUCUGUGAAAGAAAUUGAGACUGAGUUCAAUGGAUUUUUUGCUCAAAAACCUAAGAAAUGGCGUUGCACUGCACGCCAGAUCAGUCCCACGCAGUUUGUGAUGAGAUUUCCUAAUGCUCAUGAAGUUGAAAGAGCUUGCUGCUAUGGUAGGAGACUUCCUAUUCUGCAUGAUUCAGUCGUGGUGUCUAUUUCUCCUUGGUCGGCAUCGGUGGGUGCCAAAGCUGAUAUUCAGAAAGCCUGGGUUCGUGUUCGUAAUGUCCCCUUGGAGAAACGAUGCGUGCAACAUGUUUCAUAUGCUGGGGCGCUGGCGGGAGUCACUCUGGAGGUGGAUAAAGCGACUCUGCAUAAACCAGAGUAUGCUCGUAUACUUCUGGGGUGCAGGGAAGUGGAUAAAAUCCCACCGUCUGCUGAGGGAAUGUUGGGAGAAAAAUUCUAUGAUUUCUUCUAUGAAGUUGAACGUGUGGUGGUGGGUGCUCCUGAUGCGAGUCGGUAUUCAGUUCCUGUUGACAGUAAUUCUCCUUCUGUUCAGAAAAAGGCUAGAUUUGACUUCCAGGCGUCUACAUCAUACGAGCAAGGAGGGACUAGUGCUUCUGCUGCUGGAGAUUCCUUUUGCCAGAAUUAUUCUGCUACCACUCGGCUGUCUACCGUUUCUGAGAAUGAAGAGGAAGAAGAGAGUGUUGAAGGGAACCAUACCGAGCUCCUGAUACAUACUAUGGCUGAAGAGCAUGAAGCUUUGAACUCCCCUGGACAGAAUGAUGUGAGCUCAGAAAGCAAUCCUGUCAGGAAUGAGGAUGUACCCCUGGAUGGCUCACCCAGUCAUAAGGAGAAGCUGAACUCAGGUGCUUGGGCUUUGACUCCUAUCCCUCCCUCACCUGCCUUUUUGGGUUAUGAUGGAAAAGAUGAUGUGAGUACUAUUCCUCGUUUGUCAGACUAUGUGGCAUGGCCUAAUAUGCCCCGGGUUGUUGAGCUGGAGGAGGGAUCGAAGGAAGGUAGCGAGACUCGCAGUCUAUAUAUUGUUGAGUCUCCUACUGGAUCUCCUAUCCAUGAAAAGCUGCAUGUGUCUCCUGGACCUGAGGGUUGCAAUCAAUAUCAAAAGCUCACUAGGGUGGAUGAGAGGGCUAUGGAUCGCAUGAAGAAGCGCAACUUUGAAGGUCUUCUGAAAGGGAUUGAUAAGGAAAGAGUCCAGGCUGGAGUGCAGAAGAUGGUGCGCGUGGCUGCGUCUUUGGCGGACCGUUCUACUCCCAGGGGUAGGCUCAUGCUGGGGAAUGGCGCGGGAGCUUGA